GACGAACGCUGGCGGCGUGCUUAACACAUGCAAGUCGAACGGAAAGGCCCUGCUUUUGUGGGGUGCUCGAGUGGCGAACGGGUGAGUAACACGUGAGUAACCUGCUCUUGACUUUGGGAUAACUUCAGGAAACUGGGGCUAAUAUCGGAUAGGAGCUCCUGCUGCAUGGUGGGGGUUGGAAAGUUUCGGCGGUCGGGGAUGGACUCGCGGCUUAUCAGCUUGCUGGUGGGGUAGUGGCUUACCAAGGGUUUGACGGGUAGCCGGCCUGAGAGGGUGACCGGCCACAUUGGGACUGAGAUACGGCCCAGACUCCUACGGGAGGCAGCAGUGGGGAAUAUUGCACAAUGGGCGGAAGCCUGAUGCAGCAACGCCGCGUGCUGGAUGACGGCCUUCGGGUUGUAAACCGCUUUCGCCUGUGACGAAGCGUGAGUGACGGUAAUGGGUAAAGAAGCACCGGCUAACUACGUG
Molecule: ribosomal RNA, 468 nt
Filed under: uncultured bacterium
Lineage: Bacteria
Description: partial 16S ribosomal RNA
Rfam family: Bacterial small subunit ribosomal RNA
Source: RNAcentral